UAAUUUUUUAAUGGUAACAGUUAUACUAUGAAAAUUUUUAUCUGAAAUCAUUUCGAAUUGAUGAAAAACCCUGUCAUUUGGUAUAAAGAUAAACAAACUCCAAACUAUAUUUGUUUUUUAUAAAACAAAUAUGUGGGAAACCUUACAUGGACAAGUUGUCUAGCUACUGUAGCCAGCCAAGCCUGUACUGUGCCAAUAACGCACAGUUUUAGCAGGGACCUAUAUACUAACAUAGGUCCCUGGUUUUAGUAGAUGCAUCAGUAAGAUAUAGUGUUGAUUCGGUGUUUCUCUGUUUUCUUUUUAUGCAAGUAAUUUAAAAUGUGAUGUAUGUACACAACAAAAGCCAAGGUGAAAUCAAAAUGGGUUUUUUCUGCAUUUGUAUAGGUGUAAACAACGCGCGGCAUUGUGGGAAACGGGAAGGUACUAAAGACUUGAUAUGCUAAAAUCCUGAUUUGACCUGAUUAAAAAUUGUCAGUAAUAUUCCAAACAAAUGAAUUCUUGUAUAACAUAAUGCAUCAUAGUCAAAGGUCUUUAAAAUAAGACAUUUUAAGUACUCAAUAUUAUCAUUUAAUUUAAAAUAAAAACAUCGGGUAAUUUCAGGUCUUUAGUACAUCCGGGUUUCAGUGUGUCCCAUCGAAAUCGGCAAAUCGGACACUUGAUCAUGUUUACAAAGUGAAAUUGAGGAUUUUCUCACCAUACAAGCCGUUUGUAAACAUGCACGGACAUUUUAUCUGCAGCUCAAAGUACUUUAUCAAUCCUCUGGAGCAUUAUUCUAAGCAAAAUUAUCCGAUUUAUAUAUUCUUGUGUGAAUUGUUUACGAGGAAAUUCCGACUGUCACAGUAAUAAAGAAGGAUGAACACUCUUGACUCUGUUUCGGAUUCCCCAGUGAUAAUUGUAUCGAAUGAUUAAAGAGCUGACGGUUACAUUUUAAUUUAUGAUUGGCGUGGACCAUGGGAAUGAAUUCGAAGUCAUUUUAUGAUGCCACCGCUUGGGAUAGUAAGCUGCAAAUAUAGACUUGUACUCAGCACUUAUUGCCUUUGAGAAGUAAGGGAUCCUUUUCGUGCCAACACCCACACCUACUGUGACACAGAAUCUCGGUUUAUACAGUCUCUUUGGAGUUACCUGUCUCUAGCAUUUAGCAGUGUGACUGUCAUCUGAGUACUGAAAUUUGAUGCCAAGCAUGAUCAUGAUUUGCCAGAAGAGCCUCUUUUGGGAGAUGACAAAGAAUAAACAGCAGAAUGAAAUUGAAACAAUCAACUGAAUCAAGUCUCAGUUUAAGAAGAUGAUUUUAAAUAUAUCAUAUUUAAAUUUUGAUUUGAGAAACAGACAUAAAUCCAAAAAUAUGAUUAUAUCAA
Saccostrea cuccullata (small rock oyster) is the source of this 1355-nucleotide long non-coding RNA. RefSeq lists it as uncharacterized. The record is from RefSeq and is a predicted model, not a curated record. The transcript is spliced from 3 exons. NCBI's taxonomy places the organism in Eukaryota, Metazoa, Mollusca, Bivalvia, Ostreida, Ostreidae.